AAGAUUAAAUCUCGGAGCUAAACCUAACUACUUGUCAUUGCAAGAGACACACCUACAAUUGAUAUUAAAAGACAAUCAAAUACAGGAGUUUCCCUCAUGGCUCAGUGGUUAAUGAACCCAACUAGUAUCCAUGAAGACACGGGUUUGAUCCCUGGGCUUGUUCAGUGCGUUAAGAAUCUGGCGUCGUCGUAAGCUGGGAUAUAGGUCACAGAUGUGGCUCGGAUCCUGUGUUGCUGUGGCGUAGCUGGCAGCUACAACUCUGAUUUGACCCUUAGCCUGGGAACCUCCGUAUGCUGUGGGUGCAGCCCUAAAAAAACAAAAGACAAAAAAAUAAAAAAAGACAAUCAAAGACAUAUCAAGCAAAUAAAAACAGGGGACUCGAUUUCACUUUUGUACCUGCUUGGAUUCAGGGCCAGAAACAUUAAAUAAAGUACUGUAAAGUAGUAAAAAAAUAUAAUUCAUAGUGAAAAUCUAAGUCAUGAGUAUCUAUGGACUGAAAAAUCAUAACACUGAAUUUACCAAAACAAAAAAUGACAAGAACUACAAGGGGAAAAUUGGCAUAAUAGAAGACUAAUUCACCUUAGUCCAAGUCACAUCAAAUGGACCAAAAUAAAUAAGGAUAGAAAAAACCUAAAUAAUGUAAUUAAUAAACACAGCCACAGCAACGCAUGAUCCGAGCUGUGUCUGCGACCUACACCACAGCUCACAGCAACACUGGAUCCUUAACCCACUGAGCAAGGCCAGGGAUCAAAUCUGCGUCCUCGUGGAUUCUGGUCGGGUUCCUUAGCCACUGAACCAAGAGGGAAACUCCAAUAACACAGUUUUUAAACAAAGACUUUGACACAGAGGUAGGGGCACAUCUCUUUGAGGUGAAAUAACUAAGGUCGAAAGAAUAAAAGGGUUUGGAAGAUUCCAGGCUGUUCCAUGUUGGGUUAUACAGGGAAUCUCCUAAAGGAUUAUCAGGUCUCAGACGGGAAACUCUGACCGGGAGAUGAAAGCACUCUGUUCAUUUUAGGCACAAAUGAAUAUCGGGUUCCAAGUGCAGCUUCUCUGCAUGUGCAUACAGUGUGAGUAUUUGUGGAAAGUCUUCAACUGUCCCUAACCCGAGGCUUGAACCAGUUAACUCUGUCAACUCCUCAGCCAGCUCUGUGACCCUGGGCAAUCUCCUAGCCUAUGAACAGUGGAAGGCACUGCUCGUCAUGUCUUCAUUUCUAGGCGGGAGGAAUGAGGUGAAACCAGGACAGAGAGAACUCAGGCACAUUUUUAGAUACAUCCUUCAUACAAAAGUACUGUGGACACUGGGCCAUAUCUUUACGAGAUAUUUUAAAUAUUGCACAAGUAAUUUUAUUCUACUGACAAGUGAAAAUCUGGGAAAUGCAGAAAAGUAUGGAGAAGGAAAAAUGCUCCCAUCAUUUAAGGCCCAGAGAUAACGUUUGGAUGAGAAGCCCCAUCACAUCCACUUGGAACCUCCUCCUACCUGAGCCACGCAUCUCAAGGGGCAAGGACACCAGACCCUCCUUCCCUCCCUCCAUCCUUCCAUCAACCCCACUCUCACCUGGCUCCAGAUAGAACUACAGGCAGCUGCAUGGCAAUGGCUAAGUCUCUGAAGCCAGAUCUGAGUUAUCACAUCUGUAGGACAAGAUACCACCACCUCCCCUCUGUUAGAGCGACACCACGUGGCCUGAGUGUUACUCGUGGAGCAUCUUCCUCACACCACCUACAGGGCUUAGAGCUCCCACACCCCUCAGCUCUGUGCAAAGGCUUUGUUAAACCCCCAAUUCCCAUUCAGACUACAGUGUUAAGGUUGUGUGAAUUCCUGAUGUGUCCUCAUGACAACUGCACCUUCUAGAAGGUAGAGGAAGCUCAGGGAGGCAACGUGACCUAAUUCUAAACAGCAAAGAAGUAGGGAGACUUAGUAUCAUGUUGGAGUUUUCUUUACAAAUUAGACAACAGAAGCAACCUACACCUUUCCCUGGUAGAUCUUCCUAGACCUGAAAUAGUCCAGAUUUUCCCCUCAAACUCUCAAAUUUCCUGGAUGUUCCCUGACAGCACUUGCAUCGCAAAUGGGCUGAGGACCAAUCAAUCAGGAUAAGAUGUAAAGAGUCUGCAGAAUGAGAGUGAUCUGUGCUGUGUGGGAAUCUGAACCCAUAGAGUCCAAAGUCAUGGAAAGUCUAAUCUACAAUCUCUCUUAUGCACAUGUGCGUGCACACGUGAGCACACACACAUCCUGCCCCACCCCUACCUCUUCUGCAGAUUCUUGGCAGACCUGCCUUCAACCUGCACCUUGUUGUUAAGGCCCAGCCAUGAAGCUUCGUCUCUGGAGGCUCAUAAUUGCAAAGGGUACAGAGCGCUCGUUACCAGACCCCUCAUGGAGAUCCUAAAGAGUGAACCAGGGAAAUGAACUUUAACUAGAAUUCUCUGCUUGGAGCUCACCUGUGUUGCUAUCUCAGUGAGGGCAGCGGCCUCGGCCUCCCCCAGGUGUUGCACCAUCUUGUAAAAUAGGCUGUUUCUAUUUUGCAGCAACUCAUACGGCCGACUGAAUACUACCUGUCUUCCUGAAUCCAAAACCUAAAAAUCAGCAGAAAGAAACCUAUUAUUAGACAAUGUUUCCCAGUAACAUAGUAUAACUCAGAUAAUAUUUUAUUGCACAUGGAUAUGUUCACUAAUUGAAACUUAAAAGGAAGAGGAAGGGGCUCUUACUCUGCUUUCUACUUACUAGUGGCUUUGCUUCAGGGUGCUGGAGAGAAGAAAGAGUCUGAAACAAUUGGCCCAAAUGAUACAGCUAUAAACAUAGUUCUGAUGUUAAGUGGUACUGAGUUCUUCAUUUAGGUCAUUCUUAGACUAAAUGUAUUUUAACAGAAGAUGCUGAAACUCUGAACAGGACACAGGUUGUUUUUCCACAGCUAAGGACUGCAGUUAAUUCUGCCCCAUGGAAUUUAACUAGAGACAUUUAUUAAGUCUCUUAAAGGCCAGUUUCAUGUUAAUCUUUUGUUUACCCCUGGGAAGCAUUGCUAAGGACAGCUUGCUCAAAAGAAUUCAAGAAAAACUGAAUCUGUCACAUCCACAUAAUAAUUUAAAUGUUCUCUUAGAAUGCCAAUUUAGAUGCCACGAAUGUGUAAUUUAACUUA
Molecule: long non-coding RNA, 3128 nt
Filed under: Sus scrofa (pig)
Lineage: Eukaryota; Metazoa; Chordata; Mammalia; Artiodactyla; Suidae
Description: lncRNA (ENSSSCG00050030895.1)
Source: RNAcentral